GGUUCGGUGGUCUAGGGGUAUGAUUCUCGCUUAGGGUGCGAGAGGUCCCGGGUUCAAAUCCCGUCCGAACCC
Molecule: transfer RNA, 72 nt
Filed under: Trichonephila inaurata madagascariensis
Lineage: Eukaryota; Metazoa; Arthropoda; Arachnida; Araneae; Nephilidae
Rfam family: tRNA
About the family: Transfer RNA (tRNA) molecules are approximately 80 nucleotides in length. Their secondary structure includes four short double-helical elements and three loops (D, anti-codon, and T loops).
Source: Rfam by way of RNAcentral